UGAGGAAUAUUGGACAAUGGGCGCAAGCCUGAUCCAGCCAUGCCGCGUGCAGGAUGACGGUCCUAUGGAUUGUAAACUGCUUUUGUACAGGAAGAAACAGUUCUACGUGUAGAACCUUGACGGUACUGUAAGAAUAAGGAUCGGCUAACUCCGUGCCAGCAGCCGCGGUAAUACGGAGGAUCCAAGCGUUAUCCGGAAUCAUUGGGUUUAAAGGGUCCGUAGGCGGUUAGAUAAGUCAGUGGUGAAAGCCCAUCGCUCAACGGUGGAACGGCCAUUGAUACUGUCUGACUUGAAUUAUUAGGAAGUAACUAGAAUAUGUAGUGUAGCGGUGAAAUGCUUAGAGAUUACAUGGAAUACCAAUUGCGAAGGCAGGUUACUACUAAUGGAUUGACGCUGAUGGACGAAAGCGUGGGUAGCGAACGGGAUUAGAUACCCGCGUAGUCCCUGAGCGGGCUGGCAAGGCGCAU
RNAcentral lists this ribosomal RNA (467 nucleotides) under uncultured bacterium. RNAcentral describes it as "bacterial SSU rRNA". It matches the Rfam family "Bacterial small subunit ribosomal RNA", at positions 355 to 825 of the family's 1533-position model. The record is from RNAcentral.